GCCGGGUGCGGUGGCAUGUGCCUGUAAUCCAAGUCACUGGGAGGCUGAGGUUGGUGGAUCAAGUGAGCUGAGGAGCUCUGGGCUGCAGCACACUAUGUGGAACGGGUGUCCACGCUAAGUUCGGUAUCGAUAUGGUGUUCCUGGGGGAGCCCGGGACCACCAGGUUGUCUAAGGAGGGGUGAACCGGCCCAGGUCGGAAACGAAGCAGGUCAAAUCCCCCGUGCUGUCCAGUAGUGGGAUAAUACCUGUGAGUAGAUGCUGCAGUGCAGCCUUGGCGAAACAUCGAGACAUAAUCUUUC
RNAcentral lists this signal recognition particle RNA (299 nucleotides) under Oncorhynchus kisutch (coho salmon). RNAcentral's name for it is "Metazoan signal recognition particle RNA (ENSOKIG00005032657.1)". It matches the Rfam family "Metazoan signal recognition particle RNA". From Rfam's summary of the family: The signal recognition particle (SRP) is a universally conserved ribonucleoprotein. It is involved in the co-translational targeting of proteins to membranes. Lineage: Eukaryota; Metazoa; Chordata; Actinopteri; Salmoniformes; Salmonidae. The record is from Rfam by way of RNAcentral.